GAUGAACGCUGGCGGCGUGCUUAACACAUGCAAGUCGAACGGAAAGGCCCAAGCUUGCCUGGGUACUCGAUUGCCGAACGGGUGAGUAACACGUGGGUGAUCUCCCCCGCACUUCGGGAUAAGCCUGCGAAACUGGGUCUAAUACCGGAUAGGACGAUGUUUUGGAUGCCAUUGUGGAAAGUUUUUUCGGCGUGGGAUGAGUUCGCGGCCUAUCAGCUUGUUGGUGGGGUAUUGGCAUACCAACGCUUAGAGGGGUAGCCGGCAUGAGAGCGUGGAGGGCCACAUUGGACAUGAGAUACGGGCCAGAGUCCUGAGGCUUGCGGCAGGGGGGAAUGUUGGACAAUGCACGCAAGCCUGAGGCAGGAACGCCGCGUGGUGGAUGAAGGCUGUCGGGUUGUAAAAACCUAUGGCUAGGGAAGAGGGGUUUUUGUGACGGUACCUGGAGAAGAAGCACCGGCUAACUACGUG
RNAcentral lists this ribosomal RNA (468 nucleotides) under uncultured bacterium. RNAcentral describes it as "partial 16S ribosomal RNA". It matches the Rfam family "Bacterial small subunit ribosomal RNA", at positions 28 to 507 of the family's 1533-position model. The record is from RNAcentral.